GCGGCGAAGUCCACAAAGCUGUAAAGCGGAACGACGCUGUCGCCAUACUUGUCGAAUCCACUCAACUCUCUCUUCGCCUUGGCUCGAAGCUCCUCCGCCACUUCCAUGGCCUUCUCCAUACCGUACACGUCCACAUAGCUCUUCCCUUUCUUUUUCUUCUCUUCGUCUUCCUCACUCUUCGUCUUCGCUUUCAGCACAUCGUCCACCACCUGGUACAACAUCCCGACAGCUCGGCCGUAUCUCCUAAGGCGUAGGAUAUCAUCGUCGGCGGCGCCGCCCAGGAACCCGCCACAAACAGCGGAGCACUCAGCCAUCUCGCCGAACUUCUUGCGCUGGACGAAGUCGACGGAGUUGGGGGCGCCCUCGAGGUCGAGGAACUGGCCGGCGGCCAUGCCGGUGGAGCCGACGGAGCGGGCGAUUUCCGCGAUGACGCGGAUGAGCUGGCCCUCUGGGACGAGGUGGGAAGGGGUGUGGGAGACGAUGUGGCGGAAUCCGAGGGGGAAGAGGGCGUCGCCGG
This 517-nucleotide long non-coding RNA is filed under the name Vitis vinifera (wine grape). RNAcentral describes it as "long non-coding RNA (VVIN_LNC000626)". The record is from RNAcentral. Lineage: Eukaryota; Viridiplantae; Streptophyta; Magnoliopsida; Vitales; Vitaceae.